GAUGAACGCUGGCGGCGUGCCUAAUACAUGCAAGUCGAGCGAACAGACGGGGAGCUUGCUCCCCUGACGUUAGCGGCGGACGGGUGAGUAACACGUGGAUAACCUACCUAUAAGACUGGGAUAACUACGGGAAACCGGAGCUACUACCGGAUAAUAUAUUGAACCGCAUGGUUCAAUAGUUAAAGACGGUUUUGCUGUCACUUAUAGCUGGAUCCGCGCCGCAUUAGCUAGUUGGUAAGGUAACGGCUUAACAAGGCAACGAUGCGUAGCCGACCUGAGAGGGUGAUCGGCCACACUGGAACUGAGACACGGUCCAGACUCCUACGGGAGGCAGCAGUAGGGAAUCUUCCGCAAUGGGCGAAAGCCUGAUGGAGCAACGCCGCGUGAGUGAUGAAGGUCUUCGGAUCGUAAAGCUCUGUUGUUAGGGAAGAACAAAAGUGUAAGUAACUAUGCACGUCUUGACGGUACCUAAUCAGAAAGCCCCGGCUAACUACGUG
RNAcentral lists this ribosomal RNA (497 nucleotides) under uncultured bacterium. RNAcentral describes it as "partial 16S ribosomal RNA". It matches the Rfam family "Bacterial small subunit ribosomal RNA", at positions 28 to 507 of the family's 1533-position model. The record is from RNAcentral.